CUUAAGCAUAUCAAUAAGCGGAGGAAAAGAAACCAACAGGGAUUGCCCUAGUAACGGCGAGUGAAGCGGCAACAGCUCAAAUUUGAAAUCUGGCUCUUUUAGAGUCCGAGUUGUAAUUUGCAGAGGGCGCUUUGGCGUUGGCAGCGGUCCAAGUUCUUUGGAACAGGACGUCACAGAGGGUGAGAAUCCCGUACGUGGUCGCUAGCCUUCGCCGUGUAAAGCCCCUUCGACGAGUCGAGUUGUUUGGGAAUGCAGCUCUAAAUGGGAGGUAAAUUUCUUCUAAAGCUAAAUACUGGCCAGAGACCGAUAGCGCACAAGUAGAGUGAUCGAAAGAUGAAAAGCACUUUGGAAAGAGAGUCAAAUAGCACGUGAAAUUGUUGAAAGGGAAGCGCUUGCAGCCAGACUUGCCUGUAGUUGCUUAUCCGGACUUUUGUCCGGUGCACUCUUCUGCGGGCAGGCCAGCAUCAGUUUAGGCGGUUGGAUAAAGGUCUCUAUCACGUACCUCCCUUCGGGGUUGGCCUUAUAGGGGAGACGACAUGCAACCAGCCUGAACUGAGGUCCGCGCAUCUGCUAGGAUGCUGGCGUAAUGGCUGUAAGCGGCCCGUCUUGAAACACGGACCAAGGAGUCUAACAUCUAUGCGAGUGUUUGGGUGUCAAGCCCAGACGCGUAAUGAAAGUGAACGGAGGUGGGAACCUUUUAGGUGCACCAUCGACCGAUCCUGAUGUCUUCGGAUGGAUUUGAGUAAGAGCAUGGCUGUUGGGACCCGAAAGAUGGUGAACUAUGCUUGAAUAGGGUGAAGCCAGAGGAAACUCUGGUGGAGGCUCGCAGCGGUUCUGACGUGCAAAUCGAUCGUCAAAUUUGGGCAUAGGGGCGAAAGACUAAUCGAACUAUCUAGUAGCUGGUUCCUGCCGAGUU
Molecule: ribosomal RNA, 916 nt
Filed under: Phaeosphaeria herpotrichoides
Lineage: Eukaryota; Fungi; Ascomycota; Dothideomycetes; Pleosporales; Phaeosphaeriaceae
Description: LSU rRNA
Rfam family: Eukaryotic large subunit ribosomal RNA
Source: RNAcentral